AGAGUUUGAUCAUGGCUCAGGAUGAACGCUAGCUACAGGCUUAACACAUGCAAGUCGAGGGGAAACGAUAUUGGAAGCUUGCUUCCGAUAGGCGUCGACCGGCGCACGGGUGAGUAACACGUAUCCAACCUGCCCACCACUUGGGGAUAACCUUGCGAAAGUAAGACUAAUACCCAAUGACGUCUCUAGAAGACAUCUGAAAAGAGAUUAAAGAUUUAUCGGUGAUGGAUGGGGAUGCGUCUGAUUAGCUUGUUGGCGGGGUAACGGCCACCAAGGCUACGAUCAGUAGGGGUUCUGAGAGGAAGGUCCCCCACAUUGGAACUGAGACACGGCCCAAACUCCUACGGGAGGCA
RNAcentral lists this ribosomal RNA (353 nucleotides) under uncultured bacterium. RNAcentral's name for it is "bacterial SSU rRNA". It matches the Rfam family "Bacterial small subunit ribosomal RNA", at positions 8 to 350 of the family's 1533-position model. The record is from RNAcentral.